Molecule: ribosomal RNA, 254 nt
Filed under: uncultured bacterium
Lineage: Bacteria
Also listed under: 1 other name
Description: partial 16S ribosomal RNA
Rfam family: Bacterial small subunit ribosomal RNA
Source: RNAcentral
GACGAACCGUGCGAACGUUAUUCGGAAUCACUGGGCUUAAAGCGCGUGUAGGCGGGACGGCACGUCUGUCGCUGAAAUCCCCCGGCUUAACCGGGGAACUGGCGUAGAUACGACCGUCCUGGAGGGGCGUAGGGGGAUCUGGAACUUCCGGUGGAGCGGUGAAAUGCGUUGAGAUCGGAAGGAACGCCCGUGGCGAAAGCGAGGUCCUGGACGCCUACUGACGCUGAGACGCGAAAGCCAGGGGAGCGAACGGG